CGAAGGAUCCAAGCGUUGUCCGGAUUUACUGGGUUUAAAGGGUGCGUAGGCGGACUUUUAAGUCAGUGGUGAAAGCUCGCAGCUUAACUGUGAAAUUGCCAUUGAAACUGAAAGUCUCGAGUGUGGUUGAGGUAACUGGAAUAUAUCAUGUAGCGGUGAAAUGCUUAGAUAUGAUAUAGAACACCAAUUGCGAAGGCAGGUUACUGAGCCACAACUGACGCUGAGGCACGAAAGCGUGGGGAUCAAACAGGAUUAGAUACCCUGGUAGUCCACGCCGUAAACGUUGAAUACUCGAUCUUAGCGAUACACAGUUAGGAUCCAAGCGAAAGCGUUAAGUAUUCCACCUGGGAAGUACGUUCGCAAGAAUG
This 368-nucleotide ribosomal RNA is filed under the name uncultured organism. RNAcentral describes it as "bacterial SSU rRNA". It matches the Rfam family "Bacterial small subunit ribosomal RNA", at positions 526 to 896 of the family's 1533-position model. The record is from RNAcentral.